This 253-nucleotide ribosomal RNA is filed under the name uncultured bacterium. RNAcentral describes it as "partial 16S ribosomal RNA". It matches the Rfam family "Bacterial small subunit ribosomal RNA", at positions 524 to 776 of the family's 1533-position model. The record is from RNAcentral.
UACGUAGGUGGCAAGCGAUGUCCGGCUUUAUUGGGUUUAAAGGGUGCAACGGCGGCCUGAUAAGUUAGUAGUGAAAUCGUGCCGCUUAACGGUAUACUCGCCAUUAAUACUGUCGGGCUUGAGUAAGUGUAAGGGAGAUGGAAUGCGUGGUGUAGCGGUGAAAUGCAUAGAUAUCACGCAGAACGCCGAUUGCGAAGGCAGUUUUCUGGCACUUAACUGACGCUGAGGCACGAAAGCGUGGGUAGCGAACAGG